AAGGAAUAUUGGUCAAUGGGCGGAAGCCUGAACCAGCCAUGCCGCGUGCAGGAUGACUGCCCUAUGGGUUGUAAACUGCUUUUGUCCAGGAAUAAACCUAGAUACGUGUAUCUAGCUGAAUGUACUGGAAGAAUAAGGAUCGGCUAACUCCGUGCCAGCAGCCGCGGUAAUACGGAGGAUCCGAGCGUUAUCCGGAUUUAUUGGGUUUAAAGGGUGCGUAGGCGGCCUAUUAAGUCAGGGGUGAAAUACGGUGGCUCAACCAUCGCAGUGCCUUUGAUACUGAUGGGCUUGAAUCCAUUUGAAGUGGGCGGAAUAAGACAAGUAGCGGUGAAAUGCAUAGAUAUGUCUUAGAACUCCGAUUGCGAAGGCAGCUCACUAAGCUGGUAUUGACGCUGAUGCACGAAAGCGUGGGGAUCGAAC
RNAcentral lists this ribosomal RNA (420 nucleotides) under uncultured bacterium. RNAcentral's name for it is "bacterial SSU rRNA". It matches the Rfam family "Bacterial small subunit ribosomal RNA", at positions 356 to 773 of the family's 1533-position model. The record is from RNAcentral.